UAUGAAAGUGACUGUGCAUGUGUAUGUGGGUGUGUUUGAAUGAUGUUGAAAGAAAAUAUAUCGUUUCCCCCACAGUGCCUUUUCUCAAGUGCGAUGGCUGUUAUCCUGAAUAUACAUCUCACUGCAGUGCCCAUACUUAAAGAAGAACAAUCUAAAGAUAAAUUUUAAUAUAUAAAAGCACAUAGACUUCCAGAUAAACAUGGCAGCAGUUUAGAAGCAAGACUCUUCCUCUCCUCAGCAUCCACCAAUAUAGACUACCUCAAAAGAUAAAAAAAAAAAAAAACAAAUUCAUCAGAAUGAAGGCACUCUAUAAUAGGGCACAGCAUUGAAGGCACAUGGAAUUUGGGCAUUUCCACACUAUAAGGGGGUGAAAAAACUCCCAACAAAACGCGACUUGAUCUACCCUCCCCCACCCCACCUACCAAGCCAGAGUCAGAGUCAGCACACGCCAGAAUCAGCGAGUGAGAGAGGGGAAACUCUAGAUCCAAGAGGAAGGAGAAACAUCUCUAAAGACAAGAAGGAUGAAGAAAAAGAGAUUAUGGGAAUAACAAAAUCAUGGGCAAAGCUAAACCUUUCUUGUAAGAGACUCAUCUGUGUAGAAAUGAUUUUGGAGCCCUUGAGAACUUGAGAUCAACAAGAGAGGGAGAAGAGAACAAAGAUUCUUGGAACAAUCAUCAUUAUGUGAAGAAUAUGAAGUAAAGCCUCAAGAUUAUUACUUUUUAUUACUAUUAAUGAUCUGGAGAAUUAUUUUCAUAUGAUUGAUCACAAUUUUUCUUUUGAAAAUUAUUGAUAUUCUUUGAUACAGAUCUAUUGAGAUAUUUGGUACUAUCUCUUCUUGACAAUCUUUUGCAAAUAAAUUCUCUUUAAGAGUUCCA
Molecule: long non-coding RNA, 875 nt
Filed under: Monodelphis domestica (gray short-tailed opossum)
Lineage: Eukaryota; Metazoa; Chordata; Mammalia; Didelphimorphia; Didelphidae
Description: lncRNA (ENSMODG00000033490.2)
Source: RNAcentral